Molecule: ribosomal RNA, 251 nt
Filed under: uncultured bacterium
Lineage: Bacteria
Description: partial 16S ribosomal RNA
Rfam family: Bacterial small subunit ribosomal RNA
Source: RNAcentral
UACGAAGGGGGCUAGCGUUGUUCGGAAUUACUGGGCGUAAAGCGCACGUAGGCGGAUAUUUAAGUCAGGGGUGAAAUCCCAGAGCUCAACUCUGGAACUGCCUUUGAUACUGGGUAUCUUGAGUAUGGAAGAGGUAAGUGGAAUUGCGAGUGUAGAGGUGAAAUUCGUAGAUAUUCGCAGGAACACCAGUGGCGAAGGCGGCUUACUGGUCCAUAACUGACGCUGAGGUGCGAAAGCGUGGGAGCAACAGG